RNAcentral lists this ribosomal RNA (802 nucleotides) under Eleutherodactylus ruthae. RNAcentral describes it as "partial 16S ribosomal RNA". It matches the Rfam family "Bacterial large subunit ribosomal RNA", at positions 1561 to 2528 of the family's 2925-position model. Lineage: Eukaryota; Metazoa; Chordata; Amphibia; Anura; Eleutherodactylidae. The record is from RNAcentral.
CGUUAAAGCUUUAUUAACUAAACAAUAAUAUCCCUAAAAUUUUAAAGAACCCUACACUAAUACUGAAAGAUCCUAUACCCCUAUAGAACUCUCUAUGUUAAAACUAGUAAUAAGAAAACAUUUCUCUUACCAACGCAAAUGUAAACCAAAAUGGAACAUCCACUGAUAAUUAACAGCCAUAAACCAAAGUAACACCAAACCGAGAAAACCCUACUUUAACAACUGUUAACCUUACACAAGAGCGUUUAAAGAAAGAUUAAAAGAAAAGGAAGGAACUCGGCAAACACUGAUUCCGCCUGUUUACCAAAAACAUCGCCUCUUGAUAAUAUAUAAGAGGUCCAGCCUGCCCAGUGACCUAGUUCAACGGCCGCGGUAUCCUAACCGUGCGAAGGUAGCAUAAUCACCUGUUUUUUAAUUGAAGACCAGUAUGAAAGGCACCACGAGAAUCUCACUGUCUCCCUUCUCUAAUCAAUGAAACUAAUCUCCCCGUGAAAAAGCAGGGAUAUUUCUACAAGACGAGAAGACCCUUUGGAGCUUAAGAUAAUAGUAUAAUUAUUGCUAUUAACCUUCACCCACCAACCUAAAAUAGCAUUUAUUUACAAGUCUUUGGUUGGGGCAACCGCGGAGUAAAAAAUAACCUCCAAGAUGAAAAGAACUUUUCUUAAACAAAAAGUUACAACUUUAUGUAUCAACAAAAUGACAUCAAUUGACCCAAUAUUUUGAUUAACGAACCAAGUUACCCUAGGGAUAACAGCGCAAUCCACUUCGAGAGUUCAUAUCGACAAGUGGGCUUACGACCUCG